Molecule: non-coding RNA, 74 nt
Organism: Ameiurus melas (black bullhead)
Lineage: Eukaryota; Metazoa; Chordata; Actinopteri; Siluriformes; Ictaluridae
Source: the annotation of a GenBank genome assembly
GACAGUGGUAGUUCAGUGGUUAAGGUGUUGGACUACUGCUCAGAAGUUCGUGAGUUCAGACCCCAGCACUGCCA